RNAcentral lists this ribosomal RNA (254 nucleotides) under uncultured bacterium. Its description in RNAcentral is "partial 16S ribosomal RNA". It matches the Rfam family "Bacterial small subunit ribosomal RNA", at positions 524 to 776 of the family's 1533-position model. The record is from RNAcentral.
UACAGAGGUGGCAAGCGUUGUUCGGAAUUACUGGGCGUAAAGGGCGCGUAGGCGGUCUUCUAAGUCUUGUGUGAAAUCCCUCGGCUCAACUGAGGAACUGCACGGGAUACUGGAUGACUUGAGUUCGGGAGAGGGAAGCGGAAUUCCGGGUGUAGCGGUGAAAUGCGUAGAUAUCCGGAGGAACACCGGUGGCGAAGGCGGCUUCCUGGACCGAUCACUGACGCUGAGGCGCGAAAGCUAGGGGAGCAAACGGG